RNAcentral lists this ribosomal RNA (1111 nucleotides) under Clostridium sp. R97. RNAcentral's name for it is "bacterial SSU rRNA". It matches the Rfam family "Bacterial small subunit ribosomal RNA", at positions 239 to 1342 of the family's 1533-position model. Lineage: Bacteria; Bacillati; Bacillota; Clostridia; Eubacteriales; Clostridiaceae. The record is from RNAcentral.
CAUAAGCUAGUUGGUAAGGUAAAGGCUUCACCAAGGCAAACGAUCAGUAGCCGACCUGAGAGGGUGAUCGGCCACCAUUGGAAUUGAGACCCGGUCCCAGAUUCCUACGGGAGGCAGCAGUGGGGAAUAUUGCCCAAUGGGGGAAACCCUGAUGCAGCAACGCCGGGUUAAAUGAAGAAGGCCUUUAGGGUUGUAAAAGUUCUGUCCUUAUGGGAAGAUAAUGACGGUACCUAUAGGAGGAAGCCCACGGCUAACUACGUGCCAGGCAGCCGCGGUAAUACGUAGGUGGCAAGCGUUGUCCGGAUUUACUGGGCGUAAAGGAUGCGUAGGUGGACUUUUAAGUCAGAAGUGAAAUACCCGGGCUCAACCGGGGUGAGCCUUUUAAAAUAGGGAAUCUGAGAGUCCGGAGAGAGGAAAUAGAAUUUCUAGUGUGUAGGGUGAAAUGGGUGUAGAGUUUGGGAGAAACACCGUGUGGAGAGGGGGCUUUUUUGGAUGUUAAUGACACUUAGGCGCAUAAAGCGUGGGGAGACACAACACGGGUUUGAUAUCCCCGGUAUUGUCACACGCUGUAAGCGGUGUAUUAUAGUGUGUAGGAGUUACCCCACCCCUUCUCGUGCAGCAGUUACCACAAUAAGUAUUCCUCGGUGGGGACGUAUGCUCAGAAUGAAACUACUCAAAGGAAUUGAGGGGGGCCCCAACAAGCAGAGCAGCAUGUGAUUUAAUUGGAAGCAAGAAGAACGAACCUUACCUUGAACAUACAUCCCACCUAUCCCUGAUAGGAGGGUACCCUUUGGGGGCAGGGAGACAGGUGGUGCAUGGUUGUCGUCAGCUCGUGUCGUGAGAUGUUGGGUUAAGUCCCGCAACGAGCGCAACCCUUUUCAUUAGUUGCUACCAUUAAGUUGAGCACUCUAGUGAGACUGCCCGGGUUAACUGGGAGGAAGGUGGGGAUGACGUCAAAUCAUCAUGCCCCUUAUGUCUAGGGCUACACACGUGCUACAAUGGUUGGUACAGUGAGAUGCCAAGCCGCGAGGUGGAGCUAAUCCUAUAAAACCAAUCUCAGUUCGGAUUGUAGGCUGAAACUCGCCUACAUGAAGCCGGAGUUUCUAGUAAU